Molecule: long non-coding RNA, 1693 nt
Organism: Carassius gibelio (silver crucian carp)
Lineage: Eukaryota; Metazoa; Chordata; Actinopteri; Cypriniformes; Cyprinidae
Exons: 3
Source: RefSeq, a predicted model, not a curated record
UUAAAUGUGGAAACUAGAUUGUAAGCCUAUUGUCUGAUUCACACUCCGAAGCAGAAGGUGGCGGUAAUGCACCAAAAGCUGGUUGCCAACCGCCGUUAAAAACAAAGAAGAAGAAGAAGAAGAAGAAGAAGUGUUUGAAAGACUUCUGGAUUCUGUUCCUGCAGCACAAGAUCGUCUGAACUACUGCAAGUCAUGAUGAGCAUCUGAUCGUCUUCAGAGACACAAAGAUCUCAGUGUUGAGCUGUUCAUCUGCAGUCUGUCAGAGAAGAGAGGAAAGAUGAGUCUCUCACAGAAACAGAGAAAACAACUAUCUUGAAGAGCAACAGCACUUUCAAAAAAGGAAAACUCAAAAAAUAUAUUUGUUCAAAUCAAAACAUGAACGUGAUAGUUCCCUAUCAAUCCUUGACUUGUACUGCAUCGAUAGACUCUUUUGGGGAAAACUCCUUUUUCUCAGAGGACUGAAGACUUAUUCAAUCACGCAGUAUAACUGCACAACCAUUGGUUCACGCAGUGAUUAUAAAAAUGAACCAAUGACUAUGAUUGAGCCAGAAUAAAAGUUAUGCCUUCUUUCUUUGUGUGAACACCUGGGCGGAGUUAUGCAAAUCUUCCCACGUAGUGAUGUAGAGAUGUGGGGCGUGUUUGAACGAGGUGUUUCAGGGGGAUGUGGACGAGCCUUAACUUUUAUAAAGAAUAUCUCUUUUGAUUUGAGACUUUAGUUUUUGCAAGUUUACAGAUCUUCUUUAUGCUCCCCUAAGAGCUUGUAACACUCCACAGAGACAGGAAUAAUUGAAAUCACAUCAUAUGACCCCUUUUAAUAUCACUGUUGAAAAAUGAGUUGUGCUAUUUUAUUUAGGUUUUUAUGAAUAUAAUUUCAAAAGAACAAUGUUUAUUUGAAAUAGAAUUCAUCAUAAAUGUCAAUACUGUCACUUUCAAUCUUUUUAAAGCAUCCUUGCUGAAUAAAAGUAAUUGAAGUCUAUUCAUGCUAACAGCAAACCUUUAAAUGGGUAUAUUUAUUAGGAGUUCGGGAGUCAGUUCGGGAGUUCGGAGCGGGUCUGCGAAUCAUUUGAGUCAGUUCGCGGAUCGCGAAUCAUUUGAGUAAGUUUGGGAGUUCGAAGCUGGAUAGCGAAUCAUUUGAGUCAGUUCGGGGAUCGCGAAUCAUUUUGAAUCCAUUCGAAAGUUCGGAGCGGGUUCGCGAAUCAUUUGAGUCAGUUUGGGGAUAGCGAAUCAUUUUAGUCAGUUCGGGAGUUCAAAGCGGGUUCGCGAAUCAUUUGAGUCAGUUUGGGGAGCGCGAAUCAUUUGAAUCAAUUCGAGAGUUCGGAGCGAGUUCGCGAAUCAUUUGAGUCGGUUCGGGAGUUCGGAGCGGGAUCGCGAAUCAUUUGAGUCAGUUCGGGAGUUCGUAGCGGGUUCGCGAAUCAUUUGAGUCAGUUUGGGAAUCGCGAAUCAUUUGAGUCAGUCUGGGGAUCGUGAAUCAUAGCUGUAUAUGGAUAGGAAUUUUAACUAAUUUAGUAGCUAGUUCUAAUUACGUUUUCCACGUGUGUUUAGGUGCGAUAUGUGAACUCGUAUUUUUUGUUUUAAAAAUGUGUUAUUUUUAAAUUACUGGGUUAAAAACUGGACACCAUAUAUAUUUUGUUUUUGAGCAACAUACAGAAUGUUAGAAAGAUAAUUAGUUUAUUUAUUAAUUUUUUUAUUUGUU